AGCGAACGCUGGCGGCAUGCUUAACACAUGCGAGUCGCGCGGGUGGUUUCGGCCAUCAGCGGCGGACGGGCGAGUAUCGCGUAGGAAUGUAUCCCGAGGUGGGGGACAACCCUGGGAAACUGGGGCUAAUACCGCAUGGGGCCUGUGGGUCAAAGCCUUAGGGCGCCUUGGGAGCAGCCUGCGUCCGAUUAGGUAGUUGGUGGGGUAAAGGCCUACCAAGCCUGCGAUCGGUAGCUGGUCUGAGAGGACGAUCAGCCACACUGGGACUGAGACACGGCCCAGACUCCUACGGGAGGCAGCAGUGGGGAAUAUUGGACAAUGGGCGCAAGCCUGAUCCAGCAAUGCCGCGUGGGUGAAGAAGGUCUUCGGAUUGUAAAGCCCUUUCGGCGGGGACGAUGAUGACGGUACCCGCAGAAGAAGCCCCGGCUAACUUCGUG
This 437-nucleotide ribosomal RNA is filed under the name uncultured bacterium. RNAcentral describes it as "partial 16S ribosomal RNA". It matches the Rfam family "Bacterial small subunit ribosomal RNA", at positions 28 to 507 of the family's 1533-position model. The record is from RNAcentral.